This 253-nucleotide ribosomal RNA is filed under the name uncultured prokaryote. RNAcentral describes it as "partial 16S ribosomal RNA". It matches the Rfam family "Bacterial small subunit ribosomal RNA", at positions 524 to 776 of the family's 1533-position model. The record is from RNAcentral.
UACGAAGGGGGCUAGCGUUGUUCGGAAUUACUGGGCGUAAAGCGCACGUAGGCGGACAUUUAAGUCAGGGGUGAAAUCCCGGGGCUCAACCCCGGAACUGCCUUUGAUACUGGGUGUCUUGAGUCCGGAAGAGGUGAGUGGAAUUCCGAGUGUAGAGGUGAAAUUCGUAGAUAUUCGGAGGAACACCGGUGGCGAAGGCGGGUCUCUGGGCAGUAACUGACGCUGAGGAGCGAAAGCGUGGGGAGCGAACAGG